Molecule: ribosomal RNA, 1372 nt
Filed under: uncultured bacterium
Lineage: Bacteria
Description: bacterial SSU rRNA
Rfam family: Bacterial small subunit ribosomal RNA
Source: RNAcentral
GAUAAACGCUGGCGGCGUGCCUAAUACAUGCAAGUCGAGCGAACGGACGAGAAGCUUGCUUCUCUGAUGUUAGCGGCGGACGGGUGAGUAACACGUGGAUAACCUACCUAUAAGACUGGGAUAACUUCGGGAAACCGGAGCUAAUACCGGAUAAUAUUUUGAACCGCAUGGUUCAAAAGUGAAAGACGGUCUUGCUGUCACUUAUAGAUGGAUCCGCGCUGCAUUAGCUAGUUGGUAAGGUAACGGCUUACCAAGGCAACGAUGCAUAGCCGACCUGAGAGGGUGAUCGGCCACACUGGAACUGAGACACGGUCCAGACUCCUACGGGAGGCAGCAGUAGGGAAUCUUCCGCAAUGGGCGAAAGCCUGACGGAGCAACGCCGCGUGAGUGAUGAAGGUCUUCGGAUCGUAAAACUCUGUUAUUAGGGAAGAACAUAUGUGUAAGUAACUGUGCACAUCUUGACGGUACCUAAUCAGAAAGCCACGGCUAACUACGUGCCAGCAGCCGCGGUAAUACGUAGGUGGCAAGCGUUAUCCGGAAUUAUUGGGCGUAAAGCGCGCGUAGGCGGUUUUUUAAGUCUGAUGUGAAAGCCCACGGCUCAACCGUGGAGGGUCAUUGGAAACUGGAAAACUUGAGUGCAGAAGAGGAAAGUGGAAUUCCAUGUGUAGCGGUGAAAUGCGCAGAGAUAUGGAGGAACACCAGUGGCGAAGGCGACUUUCUGGUCUGUAACUGACGCUGAUGUGCGAAAGCGUGGGGAUCAAACAGGAUUAGAUACCCUGGUAGUCCACGCCGUAAACGAUGAGUGCUAAGUGUUAGGGGGUUUCCGCCCCUUAGUGCUGCAGCUAACGCAUUAAGCACUCCGCCUGGGGAGUACGACCGCAAGGUUGAAACUCAAAGGAAUUGACGGGGACCCGCACAAGCGGUGGAGCAUGUGGUUUAAUUCGAAGCAACGCGAAGAACCUUACCAAAUCUUGACAUCCUUUGACAACUCUAGAGAUAGAGCCUUCCCCUUCGGGGGACAAAGUGACAGGUGGUGCAUGGUUGUCGUCAGCUCGUGUCGUAAGAUGUUGGGUUAAGUCCCGCAACGAGCGCAACCCUUAAGCUUAGUUGCCAUCAUUAAGUUGGGCACUCUAAGUUGACUGCCGGUGACAAACCGGAGGAAGGUGGGGAUGACGUCAAAUCAUCAUGCCCCUUAUGAUUUGGGCUACACACGUGCUACAAUGGACAAUACAAAGGGCAGCGAAACCGCGAGGUCAAGCAAAUCCCAUAAAGUUGUUCUCAGUUCGGAUUGUAGUCUGCAACUCGACUACAUGAAGCUGGAAUCGCUAGUAAUCGUAGAUCAGCAUGCUACGGUGAAUACGUUCCCGGGUCU